This 28-nucleotide small RNA is filed under the name Bombyx mori (domestic silkworm). RNAcentral's name for it is "ovarian small RNA-19402". Lineage: Eukaryota; Metazoa; Arthropoda; Insecta; Lepidoptera; Bombycidae. The record is from RNAcentral.
UAAGUCCAAUAGCCUCUGCAUCCUCGAA